GAUGAACGCUGGCGGCGUGCCUAAUACAUGCAAGUCGAGCGAACAGACGAGGAGCUUGCUCCUCUGACGUUAGCGGCGGACGGGUGAGUAACACGUGGAUAACCUACCUAUAAGACUGGGAUAACUUCGGGAAACCGGAGCUAAUACCGGAUAAUAUAUUGAACCGCAUGGUUCAAUAGUGAAAGACGGUUUUGCUGUCACUUAUAGAUGGAUCCGCGCCGCAUUAGCUAGUUGGUAAGGUAACGGCUUACCAAGGCAACGAUGCGUAGCCGACCUGAGAGGGUGAUCGGCCACACUGGAACUGAGACACGGUCCAGACUCCUACGGGAGGCAGCAGUAGGGAAUCUUCCGCAAGGGGCGAAAGCCUGACGGAGCAACGCCGCGUGAGUGAUGAAGGUCUUCGGAUCGUAAAACUCUGUUAUUAGGGAAGAACAAAUGUGUAAGUAACUAUGCACGUCUUGACGGUACCGAAUCAGAAAGCCACGGCUAACUACGG
Molecule: ribosomal RNA, 496 nt
Filed under: uncultured bacterium
Lineage: Bacteria
Description: partial 16S ribosomal RNA
Rfam family: Bacterial small subunit ribosomal RNA
Source: RNAcentral